GGUCCCAUCGUCUAGUGGCCUAGGACAUCAGGUUUUCAUCCUGAAAACAGGGGUUCGAUUCCCCUUGGGACUACCA
Molecule: transfer RNA, 76 nt
Filed under: Candidatus Altimarinota bacterium
Lineage: Bacteria; Candidatus Altimarinota
Description: tRNA-Glu
Rfam family: tRNA
About the family: Transfer RNA (tRNA) molecules are approximately 80 nucleotides in length.
Source: RNAcentral